RNAcentral lists this ribosomal RNA (363 nucleotides) under uncultured bacterium. RNAcentral's name for it is "bacterial SSU rRNA". It matches the Rfam family "Bacterial small subunit ribosomal RNA", at positions 29 to 394 of the family's 1533-position model. The record is from RNAcentral.
AUUGAACGCUGGCGGCAUGCCUUACACAUGCAAGUCGAGCGGCAGCGCGGGGGCAACCCUGGCGGCGAGCGGCGAACGGGUGAGUAAUACAUCGGAACGUGUCCAGUAGCGGGGGAUAACCUGUCGAAAGAUAGGCUAAUACCGCAUACGACCUACGGGUGAAAGCGGGGGACCGCAAGGCCUCGCACUAUUGGAGCGGCCGAUGUCGGAUUAGCUAGUUGGCGGGGAACGGCCCACCAAGGCGACGAUCCGUAGCUGGUCUGAGAGGACGACCAGCCACACUGGAACUGAGACACGGUCCAGACUCCUACGGGAGGCAGCAGUGGGGAAUUUUGGACAAUGGGCGCAAGCCUGAUCCAGCCA